Molecule: small nucleolar RNA, 107 nt
Organism: Psammomys obesus (fat sand rat)
Lineage: Eukaryota; Metazoa; Chordata; Mammalia; Rodentia; Muridae
Product: small nucleolar RNA SNORA4
Exons: 1
Source: RefSeq, a predicted model, not a curated record
UUACAAGAAGACACCCAUUUCCUGCUAUUUGGCAAAAUGAGUAAGACCACACGCCACAGUGGGCUAUAUCACCUAGUAUGGUUCAUUACUAUCUUGUGGCCUACACU